AAAACGUGGUGCCUGUUGUGAUGAAUACCCGAGUAGCAGCGAGCCCGUGGAAUUUGCUGUGAAUCUGCCGGGACCACCCGGUAAGCCUGAAUACUACCUUGCGACCGAUAGCGGACAAGUACCGUGAGGGAAAGGUGAAAAGUACCCCGGGAGGGGAGUGAAAUAGUACCUGAAACCGUGUGCUUACAAUCCGUCAGAGCCCUCGUUGUGGGGUGAUGGCGUGCCUUUUGAAGAAUGAGCCUGCGAGUCAGUGCUCGGUGGCGAGGUUAACCCGUCUGGGGGUAGCCGUAGCGAAAGCGAGUCCGAAUAGGGCGUUUGAGUCGCCGGGUCUGGACCCGAAGCGGAGUGAUCUACCCAUGGCCAGGGUGAAGCAGCAGUAAGAUGUUGUGGAGGCCCGAACCCACUUAGGUUGAAAACUGAGGGGAUGAGCUGUGGGUAGGGGUGAAAGGCCAAUCAAACUCCGUGAUAGCUGGUUCUCCCCGAAAUGCAUUUAGGUGCAGCGUCACGUGUUUCUUGCCGGAGGUAGAGCUACUGGAUGGCCGAUGGGCCCUCACAGGUUACUGACGUCAGCCAAACUCCGAAUGCCGGUAAGUGAGAACGUGGCAGUGAGACUGCGGGGGAUAAGCUUCGUAGUCGAGAGGGAAACAGCCCAGAUCGCCGGCUAAGGCCCCUAAGCGUGUACUAAGUGGAAAAGGAUGUCCGGUCGCGAAGACAACCAGGAGGUUGGCUUAGAAGCAGCCACCCUUGAAAGAGUGCGUAAUAGCUCACUGGUCUAGUGGC
This 780-nucleotide ribosomal RNA is filed under the name Tsukamurella tyrosinosolvens. RNAcentral describes it as "bacterial LSU rRNA". It matches the Rfam family "Bacterial large subunit ribosomal RNA", at positions 380 to 1157 of the family's 2925-position model. Lineage: Bacteria; Bacillati; Actinomycetota; Actinomycetes; Mycobacteriales; Tsukamurellaceae. The record is from RNAcentral.